Molecule: ribosomal RNA, 207 nt
Filed under: uncultured bacterium
Lineage: Bacteria
Description: partial 16S ribosomal RNA
Rfam family: Bacterial small subunit ribosomal RNA
Source: RNAcentral
CGUGUAGGCGGCUUUUUAAGUCUGGAGUGAAAGUCCUGCUUUCAAGGUGGGAAUUGCUUUGGAGACUGGAGAGCUUGAGUGCGGAAGAGGUAAGUGGAAUUCCCAGUGUAGCGGUGAAAUGCGUAGAGAUUGGGAGGAGCACCAGUGGCGAAGGCGACUUACUGGGCCGUAACUGACGCUGAGGCGCGAAAGCGUGGGGAGCGAACA